RNAcentral lists this ribosomal RNA (460 nucleotides) under uncultured bacterium. RNAcentral describes it as "partial 16S ribosomal RNA". It matches the Rfam family "Bacterial small subunit ribosomal RNA", at positions 338 to 795 of the family's 1533-position model. The record is from RNAcentral.
CCUACGGGAGGCAGCAGUGAGGAAUAAUGGUCAAUGGGCGCAAGCCUGAACCAGCCAAGUCGCGUGAGGGAAGACGGCCCUACGGGUUGUAAACCUCUUUUGCCGGGGAGCAAGCCUGAGCACGUGUGCCCCGGCUGAGUGUACCCGGAGAAAAAGCCUCUGCUAACUCCGUGCCAGCAGCCGCGGUCAUACGGAGGAUGCGAGCGUUCUCCGGAUUUAUUGGGUUAAAGGGGUGCGCAGGCGGCCUGUUCAGCCGGCGGUAAAAAUUCAGGGCUCAACCCUGUCGAGCCGUCGGAACUGGCAGUCUGGAGUGGGCGAGAAGUAUGCGGAAUGCGUGGUGUAGCGGUGAAAUGCAUAGAUAGCACGCAGAACGCCGAUUGCGAAGGCAGCAUACCGGCGCCCAACUGACGCUGAGGCACGAAAGCGUGGGGAUCGAACAGGAUUAGAUACCCUGGUAGUC